This is a long non-coding RNA of Acanthochromis polyacanthus (spiny chromis), 1062 nucleotides long. RefSeq lists it as uncharacterized. NCBI's taxonomy places the organism in Eukaryota, Metazoa, Chordata, Actinopteri, Pomacentridae. The record is from RefSeq and is a predicted model, not a curated record. The transcript has 3 exons.
UGGUCAUACUACAACUCUUGGAUCGGUAUUAAAUUAGCUUGGAAAAUCCAAACUGAAUCUCCAUGUAAUCUCCUAUCUCCAUGUUAGGAGAUACAGGAGAAUCAGUUUGGCAUUGGGCGAAUUGAAUCGUGUUUCCCUCUCGGGAAAGUUUGGUACAACCAAUCAUAGCACGGGAGGCGGGACUUAAUGCUGCGUCAUCUUCAGCACCCCGAAGAUGAUGCCGGAGGAGGAGGAGGGGGGCCAAAGCGAAUCUUUUUGUGGUUUCUUGGCGUUUUGGAUGGCGUUAGUCGUUGCCUCUUUUCACUUGACGUUUCCGACGAUGAGGAGGCAGUGGAUGGCUCAUUACUUUCGGCUUCUUGCCAUUGUUUGUACAGAGGAAAAUCCCGUUCCAAACGUUUGUCAGCCUUGGAUGAUGAAGCCCAGUUGCCAGGAACACUACUCUGCAGCUCGCUGGUCCCAUCUCAACAGACCAAAUCAAGAAAACGGAAGCUGGAUGCUGCUGUGGAUCUGCUGCAGUAUUUGGAGAGUUUACAGGAACAGUUCUUGGAAAAGAUAAGAAGAUACCAAGACCUGACCUCUGCUAUGCUCCAGAACAUACAGAGGAUGGAUGAAAACCUUGAUUGGACUGCUGAGACGCAUGCUGUCGGUGCUGGAGCGACUGUCCCAGAAAUAAACUGCAUUGUCCACUACUUCUGCCCUUUUCUAGAAAAAAAAAAUCUUCUUUUUGUAAAUUCUUUUACUUUUUAAUUAUUUAACUUGACCUGUUUUGUAUUUUUACUCAUCCAAGUUGGGUGAAUAAACAGAAAUUUGUGAUGAGAGACAAAUGUUUUGUCUAUAAUCUGCCGAGACUUUAUUCAGUGUUCAGUGCACACUUCUGUUAUACACACAGAUAAUCAGUUGUGCUUUUUCAAGCAGAUUUUAGUCUGGAACAUAUCAACAUUUGUUGUUUUUUUUACUGCCACACCAAACUAGAUAGAUAAACUGCACUAUUAUUAUUGAAGUGUGCUUACAUGAUGUGUAUACAUACACUACUUACAAAAAGUUAUUCAAUGUUUGGGUGAA